Molecule: transfer RNA, 75 nt
Filed under: Streptococcus pyogenes
Lineage: Bacteria; Bacillati; Bacillota; Bacilli; Lactobacillales; Streptococcaceae
Also listed under: 1 other name
Description: tRNA-Lys(ttt)
Rfam family: tRNA
About the family: Transfer RNA (tRNA) molecules are approximately 80 nucleotides in length. Their secondary structure includes four short double-helical elements and three loops (D, anti-codon, and T loops).
Source: RNAcentral
GAAUAGCUUAGCAAAGGGGUUAAUGCGACCAACUGUUUAGUUUGGUAGGCGUGAGUUCGAAUCUCACACUAUUCC